AGUGAACGCUGGCGGUAGGCCUAACACAUGCAAGUCGAACGGAAGCACAGUAAGAGCUUGCUCUUACGGGUGGCGAGUGGCGGACGGGUGAGGAAUACAUCGGAAUCUACUUUUUCGUGGGGGAUAACGUAGGGAAACUUACGCUAAUACCGAAUACGACCUACGGGUGAAAGCAGGGGAUCUUCGGACCUUGCGCGAUUGAAUGAGCCGAUGUCGGAUUAGCUAGUUGGCGGGGUAAAGGCCCACCAAGGCGACGAUCCGUAGCUGGUCUGAGAGGAUGAUCAGCCACACUGGAACUGAGACACGGUCCAGACUCCUACGGGAGGCAGCAGUGGGGAAUAUUGGACAAUGGGCGCAAGCCUGAUCCAGCCAUACCGCGUGGGUGAAGAAGGCCUUCGGGUUGUAAAGCCCUUUUGUUGGGAAAGAAAAGCAGCAGGUUAAUACCCCGCUGUUCUGACGGUACCCAAAGAAUAAGCACCGGCUAACUUCGUG
Molecule: ribosomal RNA, 492 nt
Filed under: uncultured bacterium
Lineage: Bacteria
Description: partial 16S ribosomal RNA
Rfam family: Bacterial small subunit ribosomal RNA
Source: RNAcentral